Molecule: microRNA precursor, 83 nt
Filed under: Bigelowiella natans CCMP2755
Lineage: Eukaryota; Cercozoa; Chlorarachniophyceae
Description: miRNA EPrBNAG00000013370
Source: RNAcentral
UGAAGAUGGUGAUGAUGACGAUGAUGAUGGUGAUGGAGAUGGCGACAAGAGCGUCAUCAUCAUCAUCAUCGUCACCAAGGGAA